UACGGGGGGGGCAAGUGUUGUUCGGAAUUACUGGGCGUAAAGGGCUCGUAGGCGGCCAACUAAGUCGGACGUGAAAUCCCCAGGCUCAACCUGGGAACUGCGUCCGAUACUGGAUGGCUUGAAUCCGGGAGAGGGAUGCAGAAUUCCAGGUGUAGCGGUGAAAUGCGUAGAUAUCUGGAGGAACACCGGUGGCGAAGGCGGCAUCCUGGACCGGCAUUGACGCUGAGGAGCGAAAGCCAGGGGAGCAAACGGG
This 253-nucleotide ribosomal RNA is filed under the name uncultured bacterium. RNAcentral describes it as "partial 16S ribosomal RNA". It matches the Rfam family "Bacterial small subunit ribosomal RNA", at positions 524 to 776 of the family's 1533-position model. The record is from RNAcentral.